UACGAACUGUGCGAACGUUAUUCGGAAUCACUGGGCUUAAAGGGUGCGUAGGCGGCUGCCUAAGUCAGGUGUGAAAGCUUCCGGCUCAACCGGAAAACUGCGCUUGAUACUGGGCGGCUUGAGUGGGGUAGGGGUGUGUGGAACUUCCGGUGGAGCGGUGAAAUGUGUAGAUAUCGGAAGGAACGCCAGCAGCGAAAGCGGCACACUGGGCCUUUUCUGACGCUGAGGUACGAAAGCCAGGGGAGCGAACGGG
This 253-nucleotide ribosomal RNA is filed under the name uncultured bacterium. Its description in RNAcentral is "partial 16S ribosomal RNA". It matches the Rfam family "Bacterial small subunit ribosomal RNA", at positions 524 to 776 of the family's 1533-position model. The record is from RNAcentral.